RNAcentral lists this long non-coding RNA (249 nucleotides) under Setaria italica (foxtail millet). RNAcentral's name for it is "long non-coding RNA (SITA_LNC005062)". The record is from RNAcentral. Lineage: Eukaryota; Viridiplantae; Streptophyta; Magnoliopsida; Poales; Poaceae.
GGCGAGUCGUGGCGACUGGCGAGCCCAAGUGGUCUGGACGGCUAGGUGCCUAUGCGCUCGCCUAGGCGACAAUUAGACGGUGAAAACAUAUAAUCGCACUUUUGACUAGGAAUUCAACAUAUGUCGUCACAUUGUAAGAGAUAAUAUUGUUGGCUGUAUCCAAUAGUUGAUACAAAUGAAUUUUAACACCAUACAUUCCUUUACCAUCAUUCAUAUUGUCACUGUGAAGGGCAUAGGCCAGCAGGCUUA